RNAcentral lists this long non-coding RNA (2713 nucleotides) under Sus scrofa (pig). Its description in RNAcentral is "lncRNA (ENSSSCG00025026837.1)". The record is from RNAcentral. Lineage: Eukaryota; Metazoa; Chordata; Mammalia; Artiodactyla; Suidae.
CCCAGAACCGGUGUGGCACAGCACUGAGCAUGUACAGCCCAAUUCUGACAAGACAUCGCUAAGAACGUCUGCAGCAGCAGCUCAGUGCAUUCCCACCCUGCCCCCUUCAGUAGACAAUGCCUUGCAGGGAAUGGGCGGGUAGGCGGUAGGGCUUAUGACGUCACAGAGCAUUCUGAGCAUGCGCACUAUCAUCAACCAGGCAUUGUUUUGCCAUUUAUUAUUUGCUUUAGUUGUUGCAGUUGGGUACACUGGCUAACUUUUCUGAGCAUCUGUUUUUUCUUAACCUGCCUGAUCAGGCUUUUCUUAAGACUUAAGAAGAUAACAUAUAUGCUAAAGGAUAAAAGCAUGUGAUUAAGGGGGUAGUCUCCACCGGUCAGGAAUUCCUGGGUUCAAAUCCUCACUUCUUCUCUCUCCCGCCACGUGACUGUGCCUCUCUUUUCUUAUCUGCAAAAUGGGCAUCAUAACAGUAUCUAUUGCAAAAGAUUCUUGUGAAAAUGAAAAUGAGUUAAUACCUAUAAAUCGCUUAAAACAGAGCUUGACAAAUAGUAAAGAGUGGAUGAACAUGAGGAAAAAAACAAAAACUGUAGGUACUUCGGAAACAACAACGAUUUUUAUCACAGGCUUUCCCCUAAAAUCAUAGUCUGCAGUGUGAAAAUGUGGCAUCUGGACUAAGAGACAAGAAUCCUGGCACAGAGAAACAUGCAGGUGGCUGAUCUCACCACCCCACCUAGAGAAAGGCAUAGUAAGUACCUCUUCUGUGACACUAUUAUGUCUAAAGCCCAGACAGCCAAAUGCACAUAUAAUACUUGAGAGAGAGAAGAGAAAAACAGUUAAAAGUAAAUAAUAUGUUUAUACCAUUUUAAGAAUAAAAGCAAAUGAGUUUGGGAUUUUUUUUUUUUAUAAUGUUACUUAACCGAGAUAACCCAUCUGAUUUCUCUAUUUCUAAAAAAAAAACAAAAAAAAAAAAACGGAAAAGUUAAAAAUGUUUCCACAUGUGUGAUUUCAAUGAAAUUUACAUCUACGAGUCAUUAUCAUUUCGGUGGAAGGCAAAAUGAUAUUCGGCUUGUCACUGGAGGGGCAGAUGGAGAUGGAAUUUAGGAAGUUGACACACUGGCUGACAGAAAUGAGUAAAAUUUACGCUCCAGCCAACCUAAUGGCAAGCAAUUAUCUCUGAACUAGGAUAACAAAUGUGCUUUUUUAUCCUCAAAAAGUUGACAUGCAUUAUAGAAGUUUCCAGAAGGGAUAUUUUCUGUAAAGAAGCCACUGCUUCUGUAUUCAACAUUCAGUACAAGAGUUUAAUUGGAUACUGACCCUUUCAGAAGAUUUUGUUACAAGUUAAAGUUAGAUAUUAAGAGACGAGAAAAAUCCACCUGAAGUUGUCUGCCACUUUCUAUUCUGUAUUUCUCUGUUUAAAUAUUGCCUUUCAAAUGCACUUUUACUUCAUAGUCAAUACCAUUAAUAGAUUUUGGCUUCAGCAAAAUACAGAUUGCUUUAUGCACAAUCCAUAGUCAUAUUUUUUAUGACUGUCAUAAAUAAAAGAAAUAAAAGUGGGAAUUUGGGUUUGUUGUUGUUUAAAAGACUAUCAACAUGAGAAAGACGUUUUUGAUUCCAUGAUUAAGUGACAUCCUAUAUAACAAGAAGAUUGGCAAAUGUUACACUGGUGUAAUUCAUCACAGAUGACUUUAUAUAAUUAAAAUGUUUAAAUAGAAACAUUAAGACAAUUUAAAUGUCUUAUAGUGUGAAUUUCAAAUGUUUUGACUCAUAAAUUUAUUCUACAUAAAAACAACUAAAGAAGAUGCCAUCUACAAACUACAUAUCCUUUUUUUUUUUUUUUUGCUUUUUAGGGCUGCACCUCUGGCAUAUUCAACCUGGUUAGGGGUCAAAUUGGAGCUACAGCUGCUGGCCUGCACCAGAGCCACAGCAACACGGGAUCCUAGCCUCAUCUGCGACCUACACCACAGCUCACAGCAAUGCUGGAUCCUUUAACCCACUGAGCGAGGCCAGGGAUCGAACCCCCAUCCUCAUGGAUACUAUCGGGCUUGUUACCACUGAGCCACAGUGGGACCUUCCCAAAUUACAGAGAAAGCCCAGAAAUAUGCACCCACGGCCUUUUGGAUGGAAUGACCAUGGUUAUAAUCUAGUUCAAAUUUCUUACAUUAGAAAUAAGGAAGCUGAAGCUAAAAAUGUUGCUGUUAAUGUUCUAACCAUGAUAUUAAAUAACAGCAAAGAUUAAAAAAAAAAAGGAAAAGAAAAUGUCUUCAGCUGUUUGAAACGGAGCCACAACCCUAUUUUAAUACUAUUAAAAUCUUAAUCUCACAAACAUAUUAGAAAGGCACACCAGAAAAAAGCCAGGAUGGAUUUGAUGUAGUUCAAUGAACGGAUGAUAGUUUCCCGUCAGAUCAAAGGAAAGAGUGAAAGAAAGGAAUCAGACGAAAAGAAAUAACCUUGAGCGCCUGCUGUCUGCCAAAAUCACAGCGAUGCAACCUAUUCAAAAAGACUUAGUUUAAAAUCUGUCUUAACACUUAUGGUUGAUGUCCUUGAGUGAAUCAAGCCCUAUCACUCUCUGAUCCCACAUUUCAGAGUAAAGGAAAUAAUACCUGGAACUGCUGUGAAGACUAAACACGAUCAUGCACGUAAAAAAUUAAAUUGUCCACCCACUGUAGCAAGACUACCCCGUACUAUCCCAUACCCUUAGAUCUUCUGUCACUUAACG